ACAUUUGCACCGCAUUAAGGUUGUGUAUAUUUUCACACACAUUAAAAGGGAAUCAAGUUAAUUCUUGAGCUGUACCCGCAACUGUAAGCUUAGUUCCGAAAGGAAUGUUUGUUGUUAACUACAAGCCACUGUUCGACACACCGAAUGGGAAGGUAAACAACAAAACGCAAGCCAGGAGACCUGCCUUUGCAUAAAAAUUGAA
RNAcentral lists this non-coding RNA (202 nucleotides) under Flavobacterium sp. Lineage: Bacteria; Pseudomonadati; Bacteroidota; Flavobacteriia; Flavobacteriales; Flavobacteriaceae. The record is from RNAcentral. RNAcentral also lists the same sequence under 1 other name.